RNAcentral lists this ribosomal RNA (462 nucleotides) under uncultured bacterium. RNAcentral describes it as "bacterial SSU rRNA". It matches the Rfam family "Bacterial small subunit ribosomal RNA", at positions 343 to 797 of the family's 1533-position model. The record is from RNAcentral.
GGGAGGCAGCAGUGGGGAAUUUUGGACAAUGGGCGCAAGCCUGAUCCAGCAAUGCCGCGUGAGUGAAGAAGGCCUUCGGGUUGUAAAGCUCUUUUGUCAGGGAAGAAACGGCAUCCUCUAAUACAGGGUGCUAAUGACGGUACCUGAAGAAUAAGCACCGGCUAACUACGUGCCAGCAGCCGCGGUAAUACGUAGGGUGCAAGCGUUAAUCGGAAUUACUGGGCGUAAAGCGUGCGCAGGCGGUUGUGUAAGACAGGUGUGAAAUCCCCGGGCUUAACCUGGGAAUGGCAUUUGUGACUGCACGGCUAGAGUGUGUCAGAGGGGGGUAGAAUUCCACGUGUAGCAGUGAAAUGCGUAGAUAUGUGGAGGAAUACCGAUGGCGAAGGCAGCCCCCUGGGAUAACACUGACGCUCAUGCACGAAAGCGUGGGGAGCAAACAGGAUUAGAUACCCCGGUAGUCCG